Small nuclear RNA from Panthera pardus (leopard), 135 nucleotides. Its record names the gene U2. It matches the Rfam family "U2 spliceosomal RNA". From Rfam's summary of the family: U2 is a small nuclear RNA (snRNA) component of the spliceosome (involved in pre-mRNA splicing). Complementary binding between U2 snRNA (in an area lying towards the 5' end but 3' to hairpin I) and the branchpoint sequence (BPS) of the intron results the bulging out of an unpaired adenosine, on the BPS, which initiates a nucleophilic attack at the intronic 5' splice site, thus starting the first of two transesterification reactions that mediate splicing. The record is from Ensembl. Lineage: Eukaryota; Metazoa; Chordata; Mammalia; Carnivora; Felidae.
AUUGCUUCUUGGCCUUUAGGCUGAGGUCAAGUGUAGCAUCUGUUCUUAUCAGUUUAAAGUAGGUGAAGAAUUAAAAUGGAGUGUAAGAAAAGGAGAUUGAGUUUGCAAUUCAGUAUUUCAUGGUCUCCAGAACCU